UGUGUGUAGGAUAACGCGAGUGACAGCAAUGUCAUUCAUAUUUUCACCACAAGAUGAUACAAUGUAAUGUUAUCUGAUACUACCAGUUCAACUUUUAAAAUACAGAGGUGCUCUGCAGGUCAUCUCCAUUGGAUGGAAAGAGUAGGGCAGUAGAGUGACUCAGUCUUGAGGAUGAUGAGUGUUAACGAGCUCCACAAGAUCACAAAGUGGUGUGCAUAAGCCUCGUGACUCGUUGGUACAGCUGCUGGACAACUGUCAUGAGAUUCCUAAAAUGGUUUGUCAAAAGAGCAUAAAAGACAUGAUCAGUGAGUGGUGCCAAACACAGCAAACUGUUCAAGAUUUGGUGGUGGUGGUGAACCCUAGUGGAAAAUGGCCCCAUCAUCCCGAAUGUCUGCACCAGCGACUCUUCGAGGGGACUGGGAUGACAGCCAGAUAGCAGGCUGGACAAGAGUCAGAUGCAGAGGAACCACAGCUGCAGACGAGAGAGGCGGGGAGAUACUUUGCCCUCUCAGAAGCAAAGGCACAUCAGGAGUGGAUGAGUACCCUCUGAAUGUUCUACCUUUUUUUUCUCCAUAACUUUUUAAUUAACAGCACUUUUUAUUAUUGUUUUACAAGGAGUUUGGCAAAGAAAGAUAUUAACAAGAAACAUUUACAGAAGUCAAUACAAAUAGGAAAAUGGUCUUUGGAUUCAAAUGUCAAUAUACCACAGCAGGAGUGGAUGUUGGUGGAUAUAAUUGAUUUGUUUUGAGGGGGUGGGGAUCUCACAGAUAUACAGGACUUAGAGCUUGUAAAUGACUCGAUGGCAGCUUACAAUAAGACAUGCUGGAUAGGAGAGUCGGGUGGCAACCUCACGGCCAUGAUGCCUGGUGUGAGACCUAUACCAACCCCUGUUGUCUGCACCUCAAUGACACCAGAAAUUAUGGGAUGGAUCCUGAGUGUGGCCUGUCUCCUCAUUAUCUCAACCAACCUGCUGGUAGCUGCUGCUCUGUUUCAGCUAAUGUGCAGGGAGGGCAGUCAGAGCUGGUGCUUCGUUAUCAACCUGGCCAUGCCAGAUAGCUUGAUGUCCCUAACAACAGGGUUUCAUUUCAAUUCAGGGGAUGAACAGACUCAAUUUGUGAAUUCUUGAUCAACUGGAUAAUGAACAUGAUAUAUUUUUACACUAAUAAUCUAAAUACAGUAUCAUAUAGUAUGUGUGUUAUUCUCCUCUGCUCUGCAGGCAUGGCGCGACAGCUACAGCAGAGAAACUUCAACAGCAGCAGCCUUUGCACCUUCUUCUCUGUCAUCCGUCCUCGGGGCUUCAUUGUGUUGUUCUGUGCUGGCUUCUUCCCCAUCCUUUCUGUCUUCCACUACUUCUACCUGGACAUCCUGAAGUUUGCCUGCGGCGACCAGAUGCAGAUCCGUCAGGCCAGCUAAAGGCUUCCACAGCGCAGCCACUACUGGGGCCACGCCAAGGCCCUGAGGACUGUGGCUCUGCUGGUGGUCUGUUUCACCAUCUGCUGGUGCCGUUUGUGGUGUGUGUGGUGCAGGUGCUGUGUGAGGGCUGUGAGUUGUACAAGGUGCUGGAGAACGACCUGUAGCUGCUGGGGCUGUCCAACCCCCUCAUCAACCCUCUGGUGUACGCCUGCUGGCAGAGGGAGGUGUGGCUGAAGAUCGGGGCACUCAUCUCCGUUAAGGACAGGUUCAGGAACACAGCCGUGUUAGAGGCUAGUGAGAGAUGUCAGACAGAGCUGCGUAUACUGCGUACACUUAUACUGUUAUAUCUGUGGACAAUGUCCUGAGCCUGGACCCCCACCUUCCCCCGGUCACCACUGAACAGGGCCACACUGUAUCGCUUUCUGCCUCAACCACCUUGUAAAUGACUUAAACAUUUUGAGAACAACUCAUUGAGGUUGAAUAAACCAAUUUGAACACUUACUGUGGCAGCUUAGAGCUUUCUCCAUUUCUGGUAGAAACGGUUCACGUCACACGUCUGGCCACAGCAACCAACUGCCAAGAACAACCAAAAGUGGAAAAAUAACAGAGUGAGAUGGAUGUGGAGACAUCAUGAAACCUAUUUGCUGUUUUUCCUCUGUUUCCUCUACUAACCUAAUUGAUAUUAUCUCUGCAAAGAAUGGCAUUUGUCCCUCUGCAUUCCCACCCAGCUAGCACAUAAUGCUCUGAUUGCUAUAUGUUUCUUAGAGCAUGAUUGUUUUGUGCAGGAUAGUUACUUGGCUUUGGAACAUUCUCAGUACAUUGAACUUGACAAAAGAAUGUUAUUUUUUGGGUAUUUCAUUACUUUAACAGAACGUUUCCUAAAAGUUCAAACUUGGUUACAUUUAAUUACAUUUUUUGUUAAUGUUCUAGGAACCUUUUCCAACUGGAUUGACAUUGGGAAUAUCAUCAAAUUGUUCCGAGAAUGUUAAGAAACAAUGUUCUCCUGUGGGAAUUUCAGUUCUGCAGCAUAAUGUUUUCUGUAGGUUUACACAUGGUUCAAUUUUCUCAGAACACUACAAAUAUUUUCCAUAAAAACCCAAUAAUUGGCCACACCUGAUCUUACUAAGUGCUUGUUUAAUUUGAAAUGGGGUCUGUUUGAAUAAACUAAAAUGAACAGCUUUGUAUGAGUAAAAAAAAAUGGCAUCAUGGUGGAUAGAGAACAGAAAAUCAUAGCUUUAAAUCUCAUUGACACAGUGCCACAGUGUUUGCAUGAUUAAUGCCUAAGCAAAUUCAAUUCCAGGUGUCCUAUCUGUGCUUGGAGAUCAAAACAGUUAAACUAAGCUAGCAGUGUUAUUAAAAGUUAUUGAAACAUUCAGUGAAAGUUUUAAGGAAAAUCAAAUAACCUAGAAUUUCUGUUCUCAGAACGUUAAUAAAAUCUCCCAGGAACACUUUUAGGGAACCAUAGUAAAACGUCCUCAGAACCUCCCUACAACAUUAAAAUGUAUGUUCCCAGAGCAGCCAUCGCCUGUAUUGUGGGAGGCAAUAUUGUCAACCAAUCAUUAGGAUGUUUUUGCUUGACCCACGCGAACGUGACCAAUGGCAUGACUGAAACAGGAGGCAACUUUGCUGCAAUUCAUGUAUACAGUGGAUAUGUACAAAUGACUGUGAUAUUUGAGUCUCUCUCUCGUGCCAAUUGAGUGUACAAUGUACAAACAUAUAUAUUUUCAGUUUGAGUGUUUUGAUAUGUGAUUUAUUUUUUAUGUUUAGUUCAACAUUAUAAAGAAAAACUUUUAUAAACAAUGACAACACC
Long non-coding RNA from Oncorhynchus kisutch (coho salmon), 3223 nucleotides. RefSeq lists it as uncharacterized. The record is from RefSeq and is a predicted model, not a curated record. NCBI's taxonomy places the organism in Eukaryota, Metazoa, Chordata, Actinopteri, Salmoniformes, Salmonidae. The transcript has 3 exons.